Long non-coding RNA from Drosophila mojavensis, 702 nucleotides. RefSeq lists it as uncharacterized. The transcript is spliced from 2 exons. The record is from RefSeq and is a predicted model, not a curated record. NCBI's taxonomy places the organism in Eukaryota, Metazoa, Arthropoda, Insecta, Diptera, Drosophilidae.
ACACGUAGAAAGUUCAAUUAAUGUGGCACGUAAAUUGCUGUCAUCGAGCCGAGAUAUUCAGGAAACUUUAACUAUAAAACAAAAAAUGUAAGUCAGCUAUAAUUAUAUUAGUCAAGAUGCGAGCGAAUCUGAUGAUAUCAUCGAACGACCCUCGCACGUGAUUCGCCUGCUCAAAGACUCGACGUGAGAAUGAAUUUCUGCCGAAAUGCCAAAAACUUGUUGUUUUUAUUGCUCUUCGAAAGGAAGUCACCCCAAAGUUGUAUGAAAUGAAUUCAUAACUAGCAUUUUCCGCGGACAGUAAUGAAAAAAAUAAAAUAAUUUGCAAGUAUUUGAUAGAGUAUAAUGAGGCAGAACUUCUGAAAAUGGACUAAGCCCGAGAAUGACAAUAAUGAACGUAAGGCAAUUAUUAAAGCAGUCAAGAAAGAAUCAAUUAUUUACAGCCCGUAGGUAUGCAAUGAAAAUAUCAAUAUCAAUGGCACUUGGAUCAUAUUAGACAUAUAUUUUUGUAUGCAUAUAUAGAACAAGAAAUGUAUACUGCAAUACUUAAUAUUAAAUCAUUUAAUUAACUAGCUUUGGCAUUGAAAUAAUCAUUUAUUGAUUCAUAAAUUCAUAAACAAAUUAUUUCAAUUUGCUUCCUUACCAUUAUAACAUUUUGCUAUGUAAAAUGAGUUUGUAUAAAUAGAUUUAAUGAAUAAAAUAAAA